CCUACGGGAGGCAGCAGUGAGGAAUAUUGGUCAAUGGACGAGAGUCUGAACCAGCCAAGUAGCGUGAAGGAUGACUGCCCUAUGGGUUGUAAACUUCUUUUAUAUGGGAAUAAAAUGUUCCACGUGUGGGUUUUUGUAUGUACCAUAUGAAUAAGGAUCGGCUAACUACGUGCCAGCAGCCGCGGUAAUACGGAGGAUCCGAGCGUUAUCCGGAUUUAUUGGGUUUAAAGGGAGCGUAGGUGGAUUGUUAAGUCAGUUGUGAAAGUUUGCGGCUCAACCGUAAAAUUGCAGUUGAAACUGGCAGUCUUGAGUACAGUAGAGGUGAGCGGAAU
RNAcentral lists this ribosomal RNA (332 nucleotides) under uncultured bacterium. RNAcentral's name for it is "partial 16S ribosomal RNA". It matches the Rfam family "Bacterial small subunit ribosomal RNA", at positions 338 to 667 of the family's 1533-position model. The record is from RNAcentral.